AUUGAACGCUGGCGGCGUGCUUAACACAUGCAAGUCGUGCGGUAACAGGCGUAGCAAUACGUGCUGACGAGCGGCGAACGGGUGCGUAAUACAUGGGAAUCUGCCCUUUAGUGGGGAAUAACCCGGCGAAAGCCGGGCUAAUGCCGCAUAAGAUCUUCGGAUGAAAGCGGGGGAUCGUAAGACCUCGCGCUGAUGGAUGAGCCCAUGUCGGAUUAGCAGUUGGUGAGGUAACGGCUCACCAAGGCGACGAUCCGUAGCUGGUCUGAGAGGACGAUCAGCCACACUGGCACUGCGACACGGGCCAGACUCCUACGGGAGGCAGCAGUAAGGAAUAUUGCGCAAUGGGCGAAAGCCUGACGCAGCGACGCCGCGGUGGGGGAGUGAAGGUC
This 389-nucleotide ribosomal RNA is filed under the name uncultured bacterium. RNAcentral describes it as "bacterial SSU rRNA". It matches the Rfam family "Bacterial small subunit ribosomal RNA", at positions 29 to 416 of the family's 1533-position model. The record is from RNAcentral.